UUUAAAUUGAGAGUUUGAUCCUGGCUCAGGAUGAACGCUGGCGGCGUGCUUAACACAUGCAAGUCGAGCGAUGAAGUUUCCUUCGGGAAACGGAUUAGCGGCGGACGGGUGAGUAACACGUGGGUAACCUGCCUCAUAGAGUGGAAUAGCCUUCCGAAAGGAAGAUUAAUACCGCAUAAUGUUGAAAGAUGGCAUCAUCAUUCAACCAAAGGAGCAAUCCGCUAUGAGAUGGACCCGCGGCGCAUUAGCUAGUUGGUGGGGUAACGGCCUACCAAGGCGA
RNAcentral lists this ribosomal RNA (280 nucleotides) under Clostridium perfringens. RNAcentral describes it as "partial 16S ribosomal RNA". It matches the Rfam family "Bacterial small subunit ribosomal RNA", at positions 1 to 276 of the family's 1533-position model. Lineage: Bacteria; Bacillati; Bacillota; Clostridia; Eubacteriales; Clostridiaceae. The record is from RNAcentral.